CACUCCAAACUCAAACAAAGGUACUUUUGGAACUUUUACAGUAAAUUAUAAGAGAUUGAUUUAUCUUUAAUCAGUUGAUUUGAUUCAAUUCAUUUUAAUGAUAAGCUUAUGUGUUAAAUUUAACCACAUCAGCUUCAUUAUUAGUUUGAUUGAAAUUAGUCAAUAUUUGUUGAAUGCCCUAAUUGCUUACCUAACCAAAGUUAAAUUGUAUAUACUUGUAAUUAUCUGGCCGAAGUCAGGUAAUGACCAUCUAUUGUGAAUAACUUAAGAUAUUUUUCAAGA
Molecule: long non-coding RNA, 282 nt
Filed under: Elaeis guineensis (African oil palm)
Lineage: Eukaryota; Viridiplantae; Streptophyta; Magnoliopsida; Arecales; Arecaceae
Description: long non-coding RNA (EGUI_LNC039437)
Source: RNAcentral